RNAcentral lists this unclassified non-coding RNA (318 nucleotides) under uncultured Tomentella. Its description in RNAcentral is "sequence contains 5.8S rRNA gene". Lineage: Eukaryota; Fungi; Basidiomycota; Agaricomycetes; Thelephorales; Thelephoraceae. The record is from RNAcentral.
GAACGCACCUUGCGCCCUUUGGCUAUUCCGAAGGGCAUGCCUGUUUGAGUAUCAUGAACACCUCAACUCUCGUGGUUUGCGCCACGAUGAGCUUGGACUUUGGGGGUCUUGCUGGCCUGUGGUCGGCUCCUCUCAAAUGAAUCAGCUUCCCAGUGUUUGGUGGCGUCGCAGGUGUGAUAACUAUCUACGCUUGUGGUUUUCCACCAGAUAACCUUCAGUGAUGGAGGUUCGCUGGGGCUCAUAAACGUCUUUCCUCAGUGAAGACAGCUUUUUGAACGUUUGAUCUCAAAUCAGGUAGGACUACCCGCUGAACUUAAG